UACGAAGGGAGCAAGCGUUAUUCGGAAUGAUUGGGUGUAAAGGGUACGUAGGUUGUCUUUCAAGUUCCAGGUGAAAUCCCUAAGCUCAACUUAGGAACUGCCUGGAAAACUAAAAGACUAGAGUUUGGUAGAGGACGAUGGAAUUUCUAGUGUAGGGGUAAUAUCCUUAAAGAUUAGAAGGAACACCAAUGGCGAAGGCAGUCGUCUGGGCCAAUACUGACACUGAGGUACGAAAGCGUGGGGAGCAAACAGG
This 253-nucleotide ribosomal RNA is filed under the name uncultured bacterium. RNAcentral's name for it is "partial 16S ribosomal RNA". It matches the Rfam family "Bacterial small subunit ribosomal RNA", at positions 524 to 776 of the family's 1533-position model. The record is from RNAcentral.